This is a long non-coding RNA of Symphalangus syndactylus (siamang), 728 nucleotides long. RefSeq lists it as uncharacterized. The record is from RefSeq and is a predicted model, not a curated record. NCBI's taxonomy places the organism in Eukaryota, Metazoa, Chordata, Mammalia, Primates, Hylobatidae.
AGUAGCUGGGACUACAGGCGCCCGUCACCACGCCCGGCUAAUUUUUUGUAUUUUUAGUAGAGAUGGGGUUUCACCGUGUUAGCCAGGGUGGUCUCUGUCUCCUGACCUCGUGAUCCGCCCAUCUCAGCCUGCCAAAGUGCUGGGAUUACAGGCGUGAGCCACCGCGCCAGGCCUGAUGGGUGAAUUUUUAAGAGGAAGAAUAAUAAGCAAAUAGACUAGUUUAAAAGCAAGGUAUCGUUUCCUUGGUGGAUCUCUUGAGAAGGAGAUGGAAACAGUGAUGGGGGACUUUGGCUUGGCCUCCAACGCGUCCCAGAACUUUUCUCUCUAGAGGUGUGAGCCAUACCCCUCCAGCAUAUCCAUUUUCCCAUCAGUUCCAUACUGUCUGUGAACUUCGGGGAAUCAUCAGUCUCUCUCUUCUGCAGUGUUCCCACCUUUAAAUGGCCCCUUACUCUCAUAAUCAGUGCUGAGUAGUGGCAAGGGGGAGAAAAUGGAAAAGUUGGCAUGGGAGAGAAGGCAGAUCCAGAAGAUAGGAUACAGCCCAGCCCUGAGAAUGUGGCCUGAUUUUCUCUUCUGUUAUCACAACUGCUCUUCUGCUUGAGUUUCUUCUACACCUUCAAGAUGGCUGAAGAACAAGAUGCUUUCUCUCCAUGUCUGUGCUGUUUCACUAUGCUGCAAAUAUUCCCAGCCCUUUCCCCUUGAUGCCCAAAAUAAAUUCCUCAACUACCCUG